RNAcentral lists this ribosomal RNA (297 nucleotides) under Bacillus pumilus. RNAcentral's name for it is "partial 16S ribosomal RNA". It matches the Rfam family "Bacterial small subunit ribosomal RNA", at positions 430 to 719 of the family's 1533-position model. Lineage: Bacteria; Bacillati; Bacillota; Bacilli; Caryophanales; Bacillaceae. The record is from RNAcentral.
GCUCUGUUGUUAGGGAAGAACAAGUGCGAGAGUAACUGCUCGCACCUUGACGGUACCUAACCAGAAAGCCACGGCUAACUACGUGCCAGCAGCCGCGGUAAUACGUAGGUGGCAAGCGUUGUCCGGAAUUAUUGGGCGUAAAGGGCUCGCAGGCGGUUUCUUAAGUCUGAUGUGAAAGCCCCCGGCUCAACCGGGGAGGGUCAUUGGAAACUGGGAAACUUGAGUGCAGAAGAGGAGAGUGGAAUUCCACGUGUAGCGGUGAAAUGCGUAGAGAUGUGGAGGAACACCACUGGCGAA